This 1362-nucleotide ribosomal RNA is filed under the name uncultured bacterium. Its description in RNAcentral is "bacterial SSU rRNA". It matches the Rfam family "Bacterial small subunit ribosomal RNA", at positions 28 to 1381 of the family's 1533-position model. The record is from RNAcentral.
AUUGAACGCUGGCGGCAGGCUUAACACAUGCAAGUCGAGCGGUAGCACAAGAGAGCUUGCUCUCUGGGUGACGAGCGGCGGACGGGUGAGUAAUGUCUGGGAAACUGCCUGAUGGAGGGGGAUAACUACUGGAAACGGUAGCUAAUACCGCAUAACGUCGCAAGACCAAAGAGGGGGACCUUCGGGCCUCUUGCCAUCAGAUGUGCCCAGAUGGGAUUAGCUAGUAGGUGGGGUAAUGGCUCACCUAGGCGACGAUCCCUAGCUGGUCUGAGAGGAUGACCAGCCACACUGGAACUGAGACACGGUCCAGACUCCUACGGGAGGCAGCAGUGGGGAAUAUUGCACAAUGGGCGCAAGCCUGAUGCAGCCAUGCCGCGUGUGUGAAGAAGGCCUUCGGGUUGUAAAGCACUUUCAGCGAGGAGGAAGGUGGUGAACUUAAUACGUUCAUCAAUUGACGUUACUCGCAGAAGAAGCACCGGCUAACUCCGUGCCAGCAGCCGCGGUAAUACGGAGGGUGCAAGCGUUAAUCGGAAUUACUGGGCGUAAAGCGCACGCAGGCGGUUUGUUAGUCAGAUGUGAAAUCCCCGGGCUCAACCUGGGAACUGCAUUUGAAACUGGCAAGCUAGAGUCUCGUAGAGGGGGGUAGAAUUCCAGGUGUAGCGGUGAAAUGCGUAGAGAUCUGGAGGAAUACCGGUGGCGAAGGCGGCCCCCUGGACGAAGACUGACGCUCAGGUGCGAAAGCGUGGGGAGCAAACAGGAUUAGAUACCCUGGUAGUCCACGCUGUAAACGAUGUCGAUUUGGAGGUUGUGCCCUUGAGGCGUGGCUUCCGGAGCUAACGCGUUAAAUCGACCGCCUGGGGAGUACGGCCGCAAGGUUAAAACUCAAAUGAAUUGACGGGGGCCCGCACAAGCGGUGGAGCAUGUGGUUUAAUUCGAUGCAACGCGAAGAACCUUACCUACUCUUGACAUCCAGAGAACUUUCCAGAGAUGGAUUGGUGCCUUCGGGAACUCUGAGACAGGUGCUGCAUGGCUGUCGUCAGCUCGUGUUGUGAAAUGUUGGGUUAAGUCCCGCAACGAGCGCAACCCUUAUCCUUUGUUGCCAGCGGUUCGGCCGGGAACUCAAGGGAGACUGCCAGUGAUAAACUGGAGGAAGGUAGGGAUGACGUCAAGUCAUCAUGGCCCUUACGAGUAGGGCUACACACGUGCUACAAUGGCAUAUACAAAGAGAAGCGACCUCGCGAGAGCAAGCGGACCUCAUAAAGUAUGUCGUAGUCCGGAUUGGAGUCUGCAACUCGACUCCAUGAAGUCGGAAUCGCUAGUAAUCGUAGAUCAGAAUGCUACGGUGAAUACGUUCCCGGGCCU